This is a long non-coding RNA of Zingiber officinale, 2567 nucleotides long. RefSeq lists it as uncharacterized. Lineage: Eukaryota; Viridiplantae; Streptophyta; Magnoliopsida; Zingiberales; Zingiberaceae. The transcript is spliced from 5 exons. The record is from RefSeq and is a predicted model, not a curated record.
CCCCUCAUUUAACGGACCGGAUCUUGCUCGGUCACGGAGGCGCUCCAUCAUCGCUGGAAUCUUCCCCGGUCGUUUCCCCUCCACCAGUUUCGCGUAUCCCCCAAUCCCUGAACUCUCUCCGCUUCCUUCUCUUCCUCGAACACGGUACCGGCGUCCAGUACUCGCCCCGCGCAGUGCGUUUCUCCAUUAAGAUUCCCCUCGUUCGCCCGUUCGCCCGUUUCUCGUCCGAUUCCCUCAGGAGAUGUCUUUUAGUUGUCCUUUUGAAGAACAUACAGCCACCAAUGAAGGGGGCCGGGAAUGGAGUUUCCGGUCCUUGGGGAUGGUCCCUUCGUAUUUGAGGAUUAAAAUUUGGUUUAUCGUGAAGAUUAUAGAGCGCAGCAAGAACUCGAGGAACAAUUGGCUGAUGAUACUCAAUCAAAUGUUAGUGCAACUGCGCUGUGGAAACAUGUUGUCAAAGGGGAAAAGUGUAGAAAUUCUCAUGGUGGUUCUCAUGUCUUCAAGUGUAAGUAUUGCCACAAGAUGUAUCAUGAUAGCUACACCUGCAAAAAUCUACAAAUGCAAAUAAAAAGGGAAGUUGAGAACAUUGAGAGCUCACCUAAUGUCGUUCCUUUGAAGCUCAAUGCAGGUUCAGGAACAACUUGGCAAGGACCUUCUUUGCCUUUGUCCUGUGUAAGUUCUUUUGAGCAGGAGUAUUCGACGCAGGAUAGAGAUGACGUUGAUUCUAAAGUAAUACGAUGCUUAUGUGCUAACGACCUCCCCUUCAGUGUUCUGCGAUCACCAUAUUGGGAAGAAAUGGUAUUGGCAAUUAGUCAAGAAUUGAGCUAUGAAAGUCCCUCUUAUGAGAGAGCAACUUCCAUAAGUAGAAGCGGCCACAAUUUGGAAUUUCAAUUGUAUCAAAUGGUUGGAGGGACAUAAAGAACCUACCUUUGAUAAACAUUUGGGCUUCAAACCAAUUUGGAUCCAUGUUCUCGAAUGCCCUUGACUUUGUAGCAGUUGAGAGAAAUCACAGAAAGGCAUUUCUGAUUUCAUGUUAGAAGUAAUCGAGAAGGUGGGUUUGUAUGUUCAAUUGAUAACGACAGUUCAAUCAACUGCAACACUGCUAGUGAUGAAGUGGCACAAGUGUAUCCUCGCUUAUUUUGGAAUCCUUGCAUGAUUCACACUUCAAGUUUGAUACUAAAGGAUGUUAUGAGCACACCUCCUUGGCUUAAGCAGACAUAUCAAACCACUAAAGGUAUAGUUAGAUAUCUCUUAUACCAUCCCCAUUCUGUCAAUAUCUUCCAAGAUUAUCGAGAUUGGAUUUACUGAAAGUCACAGGACAAGAAGUUGUUUAGUAUACAAGAUUAUCAGACCAAUAUACAAGAUCAUCAAGUUUUCUGAUCAAGAUGGUCCUCUUAUCGGCGAGGUAUGCGAGAAAAUGGAUGAUAUGCUGGGGGAAAAUUAAAGAAAAAUCUGAGCGGGCUUGAAGAUAUGUAUGUAAUUGUGGAAGAAAAGGUCCUUACAGGGUGGAACAAGAAGAAAUUUCCCUUACACUGUUUGACCUACACACUCAUUCCAAAGUACUACGGUGAGGAAUACCUACAACUUCCGGCACCGGGAUGUAGGAAGAGAUGCCCUCCAGAUCAAGAUGAUGAGGCAUUUGAGGGUGCUAUUGCUGCCAUAUGUAAAAUGCACCCAAAUGCUGAUCGCCAGGAUGUUAUUCGCAUACAAUUUCUGUCCUUCAUUGAGAAGAAGGGGAAGUUCUCGUCACCCAUAGCCAAGAGAGAUGCCAGAAAUCCCAAAAACAAUGUUUUCCACUAGUGGAAGUUUCAUGGUGGCCAUACGAACGAGCUCAGUACAUCAGUUCUUUUUCAGUUGAGAGACCACGGAGUACCAUAUCCAAAGUGCAAAGAGACAGGCUAAAUUCGAGUUAUGUUGAUGAUCUAGCAUUCAUACAUUCGAACUUAUGGUUAUUGUCUAGGUAGUGUCUUUUCCCGUUUCCCAAACUUCUAAUUUGCACGAUUUAGACAGUUUCAAGUAUGCAUCAUCGAAUCGUACUUAGGAUCUAACUCCAGGCGUAAUUCCAAGUACAAGUAUGCUGAAUCAGUUUUCCAGUGGGAGGAUUUGUGCUUCAUGGGUCUGGACGAUGCUGAUGGCUCAUUGUUGAAACAUACUUCUCAUUCUAGUAUUCCUAUACAAGAGCUUUUGCGGAUCAUUGAAGAUGUUCCCUCCGCCGAUAAUCCAUGUGUGCAGUGCAGGCACAGGGAGAGGAGGCCUAGCUGGUAUUCCAAGUAGGCUUGAUCACAAAGGUGUACUUUGACAAAGAUUAUCUAUCAUGUGUACAUUCUGAUGAAAUUUAUCGUAAGUUCAAAUUCUAAAGCCUUUGUUUGCUUCGGUGGAUGGAAUGGGAAGGGUGAAAGGUCGAAGAAGGGGGCGGCGGCGAGAGAAUUGGUUGAGGGAGGAUACUGAGUUUGUUUAGUUAGGAGGAUGGAAGGGGAAGAGAGGAUUAAGAAAUCUUCCAUAUGCUGACUUGUCAUGUUCAUGCCCUGCCCCUUUAACCAAUUACUGCCAUUUCUUUUUGAAAUACAUUA